RNAcentral lists this ribosomal RNA (468 nucleotides) under uncultured bacterium. RNAcentral describes it as "partial 16S ribosomal RNA". It matches the Rfam family "Bacterial small subunit ribosomal RNA", at positions 28 to 507 of the family's 1533-position model. The record is from RNAcentral.
GACGAACGCUGGCGGCAGGCUUAACACAUGCAAGUCGAACGGAAAGGCCCUGCUUUUGUGGGGUGCUCGGAUGGCGAACGGGUGAGUAACACGUGAGUAACCUGCCCUUGAGUUUGGGAUAACUUCAGACAGCUGGUGCUAAUACCGGGUAGGAGCUCCUGCUGCAUGGUGGGGGUGGGAAAGUUUCGGCGGUUGGGGAUGUACUCGCGGCUUAUCAGCUUGGUGGUGGGGUAGUGGCUUAGCACGGCUUGGCGGGGUAGCCGGCCUGCGAGGGGGACCGGCCACACUGGGACUGAGAUACGGCCCAGACUCGUACGGGAGGCAGGGGUGGAGAAGAUUGCAUAACGGGAGGAAGGAAGAUGUAGCAACGCCGCGUGGGGUAUAUGGUCCAGCUCGUAGGAUAGUGCUUUUGUUUGUGCCGAAGCGUUAGUGACGGUAAUGGGUAAAGAAGCACCGGCUAACUACGUG